UCCCAGUUGGAUCAGUGGUAAAGAACCUGCUUGCCAAUGCCAGAGAUGCAGGAGACCCAGGUUCGAUCCCUGGCUUGGGAA
RNAcentral lists this transfer RNA (81 nucleotides) under Ovis aries (sheep). It matches the Rfam family "tRNA". From Rfam's summary of the family: Transfer RNA (tRNA) molecules are approximately 80 nucleotides in length. Their secondary structure includes four short double-helical elements and three loops (D, anti-codon, and T loops). Further hydrogen bonds mediate the characteristic L-shaped molecular structure. tRNAs have two regions of fundamental functional importance: the anti-codon, which is responsible for specific mRNA codon recognition, and the 3' end, to which the tRNAs corresponding amino acid is attached (by aminoacyl-tRNA synthetases). tRNAs cope with the degeneracy of the genetic code in two manners: having more than one tRNA (with a specific anti-codon) for a particular amino acid; and 'wobble' base-pairing, i.e. permitting non-standard base-pairing at the 3rd anti-codon position. The record is from Rfam by way of RNAcentral. Lineage: Eukaryota; Metazoa; Chordata; Mammalia; Artiodactyla; Bovidae.